GAGGGUAUAGCUCAGUGGUAGAGUGCAUGCUUAGCAAGCGUGAGGUCCUAGGUUCAAUCCUCAGUAUCUCCA
Transfer RNA from Camelus ferus (Wild Bactrian camel), 72 nucleotides. It matches the Rfam family "tRNA". Rfam says of the family: Transfer RNA (tRNA) molecules are approximately 80 nucleotides in length. Lineage: Eukaryota; Metazoa; Chordata; Mammalia; Artiodactyla; Camelidae. The record is from Rfam.